UACAGAGGGUGCAAGCGUUAAUCGGAAUUACUGGGCAUAAAGCGUGCGUAGACGGUUAUGUAAGUCGGGUGUGAAAGCCCCGGGCUCAACCUGGGAAUGCCAUUCGAGACUGCAUAGCUAGGGUGCGGAAGAGGGAAGCGGAAUUUCCGGUGUAGCGGUGAAAUGCGUAGAUAUCGGAAGGAACACCAGUGGCGAAAGCGGCUUCCUGGUCCAGCACCGACGUUCAGGCACGAAAGCGUGGGGAGCAAACAGG
This 253-nucleotide ribosomal RNA is filed under the name uncultured bacterium. Its description in RNAcentral is "partial 16S ribosomal RNA". It matches the Rfam family "Bacterial small subunit ribosomal RNA", at positions 524 to 776 of the family's 1533-position model. The record is from RNAcentral.